Molecule: long non-coding RNA, 1228 nt
Organism: Haliotis rufescens (red abalone)
Lineage: Eukaryota; Metazoa; Mollusca; Gastropoda; Lepetellida; Haliotidae
Exons: 3
Source: RefSeq, a predicted model, not a curated record
ACAGAUUGUUUUCCAGAACAUUCAACAGGACAAGUGAACGCCUUAGGGACGAUGGAAACAUUUACGGAGCAGAUAUUGUUUUUUAAAUAUUCCCUCUCUCUUACCACUCCCACUCUUCCAAAUAUAUAAUGGUCAGUCCCGCCGGCCUUCGGCAAAAUUAACACAAUCCAUCAAAUAAUAUCUAUGUACUUUGAAAAAUAAGAGGCAUCUUGUUUAUGUACUUUGCUCUGUUCCAGAACAAGCCAUCUCUCCAGCCGUACCUGCUGUGACUCUACCCACUACCCCGCAGCCCGAGUCUAGCAAUAUUUUCUUGUGUCUUGUGCAUGCAGGAAGCUCAGUUAUCCGGUACACGCCUGCGGACACAAACCACUUAACUGUCUACACGAAGAAGCCGGUUUCUACUCAGAAAGAGUCUGCCUCAACGACACUGGUUGUCAGCAGAGGAUCAUACACAUCAGUAAGCAAAUAAAGUCUUUGAUCGGCAGUUAGAAGUAGGGAGAACAUGAAUACAUGACACUUUUUAUAAUAGCAAUUUCUGUUAUUCUUUGUACGACGUUUCAGAACUACUUCUUGCUCCUUCAUCAGGUGAAUGCAUAGUAAGUGCAUAGAGUAUUAAAUAUAUUUUACAAAGAUAACAACAUAAUGACGAAGCCGAGGGGAUAGGAUUAAUGUAUAAAGAUAACAUUAUUAUGCCGAAGACAAUUAGAUUAGCAGGAGAGGAUUAAUUACGUACAUUGUAGUGUAGUAGUGACACGGAUUUGGCUAUUGUCACACAAGCAAUACGGUGAUCAAGAUGUCCAUUGUGGUAGAGGGUGUGAUUACAGCACAGAGGAGUACACGCUGGGGAGGUAGAUGAGGGGGGGUAUUCGCAUGACGACGACCCCUCGAAUUUUUCCAUUCGCAGGACGACGACCGCCGGUACGCCUUUGAUGUGUGGUGUUGUUUUAGGAGGGGAUUAACUCUUUGGUUAGUGUCAAAAACUGAAAUAUGUACACGAAAACUGAAAUGUGUUCACUGAAUUGGUGAAUUCUGAUUUCAAGCUUUGGAGCCUUUGAACCAUUUCAACAACGACGGCCCUCGCACCAAUCACCACCUGAUGACACUCGAUACCCAUUGUUUAACUAGAUUGACGGAUUAAAAUAUUCGUAGGACGACGACCUCACUUUUUGCUAGUUUGUCUUCAUACGACACAGGGGGUCGUCGUCAUGAGAAUGAACCGUAGAUGAUA